GUGAUCACUUCUGCAGCAUAUAUACUAAAAUUGGAACGAUACAGAGAUUAGCAUGACCCCUGUGCAAGGAUGACAAGAGAAA
This is a small nuclear RNA of Sorex araneus (European shrew), 82 nucleotides long. The record is from Ensembl. NCBI's taxonomy places the organism in Eukaryota, Metazoa, Chordata, Mammalia, Eulipotyphla, Soricidae.